UCACUUCCCACCAUUCGGUCAAAACCCGAGCUCGCGCUUCUCUCUCUCAAAAUCACUCUUCAUCUCCCUGAUCUCACCAGUCAUCUAUCUCUCCCACUCUCCCUCUCAGCUUUCUCUCUCUUCCACUUAACAAAACUAUCUCUCUCUUCUCACAGCUCCCAUCUUUCUCCUUAGCCUUUACAAAAUCAGAGAAAGUGGGAAGAAGAAAACAUGUAGCGCGAAAUAGACGAUGAUUGAGAAAUCGAAACCCAAAUUUCUCUUACUCCUUCUCUCCACCCCUUUCUGCAAAACCCUAGCUUUCUCUCGCCGCCGCCCUAUCAAUUUAUGUUUCAGAUGAAAGGGUCAAUACAGAAGCCCACCGAACUGGUUGAAGAUCUCUACUCUCGAUAAUUUCAUAUCGAAGACCAGCUAGAACACGAGCUUGGCUUUGCACUCUAGCCAAGUCAAAUUGGAGAUGGACUCAAAGACGGGAAAACGGUUUGGAGAUGGAGUCAUGCACUCCUAGCAUUGGAUAUGACAAGUUCAUGUUCUUUACCUAUAAAUAAGAACCAUGAGCAGAUUUGAAUCGUUCGUUGUUUUGUGAAUCAAUUCGUUUCUCUGAUGGUUUUGCCCAUGGCGAUUGCACUUGGAAUUCUCUUUGCAGUGGUCGUGGUCCUUUAUUCGCUAAUCCUUCAUCUCAUUCCGGUGGUACUGCUCUGCGUCUCAGGCCUCUUUGCCAAUCUGGUUCAGGCGUUUUGCUUUGUUUUUAUCUGGCCGAUCUCAAAGAAUGCAUACACAAGGAUAAACGGCGUCGUUAAAGAACUAGAUUGGCUGGUUCUGCUAGGCCUCAUUGAUCGGUUUGCUGGCGUUAAGAUCCUAGUGUGCGCAGAGCAGGAAACGAGUCAUUUAAAGGGUAAAGAACAUGAACUUGUCAUAUCCAAUGCUAGGAGUGAUGCUGAUCAUCUUGUUGAACUGCGGGUUACCUCAACUCAGCGAAUGGCUGAGAGUUCAGUUCUUGAUGCACAUACUAGUGAAGCUCAAGAAUCUAACAGUUACCGGCACUAUGUGGCUUCAACAACCGAACGAGAUGGUGGGGCAAAUGCAAGGAAAAUAGAGAGCCGAGAGGCUAGUUGAGGAGGAAAAUAGAGAUAUGAAAUGCAAGGAAAUCAGAGUUUUCUUUAAGAUUCAAUUUGUUAAUGGACGUGUACCACAAUCUAUAUCAGAAAUACGAGGGUUGGUGUGCGAGGACAUAAUUGGGGGUCUAGAGGAUGUUGCCAUUCCAGCUAGCAAUUUGGUCGAUGAUCCGCCUGUUGCUCCUACAGG
This is an RNA transcript of Rosa rugosa (rugosa rose), 1302 nucleotides long. It is a transcript of the gene named 1-acyl-sn-glycerol-3-phosphate acyltransferase 2-like, with no coding region annotated. Lineage: Eukaryota; Viridiplantae; Streptophyta; Magnoliopsida; Rosales; Rosaceae. The record is from RefSeq and is a predicted model, not a curated record. The transcript is spliced from 9 exons.